GCCAGACUCCUACGGGAGGCAGCAGUGGGGAAUAUUGGGCAAUGGGCGCAAGCCUGACCCAGCAACGCCGCGUGAAGGAAGAAGGCUUUCGGGUUGUAAACUUCUUUUCCGGGGGACGAAGAAAGUGACGGUACCCCAGGAAUAAGCCACGGCUAACUACGUGCCAGCAGCCGCGGUAAUACGUGGGUGGCAAGCGUUAUCCGGAUUUACUGGGUGUAAAGGGCGUGUAGGCGGGAGUGCAAGUCAGAUGUGAAAACUACGGGCUCAACCCAUAGCCUGCAUUUGAAACUGUAUUUCUUGAGUGCUGGAGAGGCAAUCGGAAUUCCGUGUGUAGCGGUGAAAUGCGUAGAUAUACGGAGGAACACCAGUGGCGAAGGCGGAUUGCUGGACAGUAACUGACGCUGAGGCGCGAAAGCGUGGGGAGCAAACAGGAUUAGAUACCCCUGUAUA
Molecule: ribosomal RNA, 450 nt
Filed under: uncultured bacterium
Lineage: Bacteria
Description: bacterial SSU rRNA
Rfam family: Bacterial small subunit ribosomal RNA
Source: RNAcentral